This 275-nucleotide ribosomal RNA is filed under the name uncultured bacterium. RNAcentral's name for it is "partial 16S ribosomal RNA". It matches the Rfam family "Bacterial small subunit ribosomal RNA", at positions 524 to 795 of the family's 1533-position model. The record is from RNAcentral.
UACGGAGGGUGCGAGCGUUAAUCGGAAUUACUGGGCGUAAAGCGCACGCAGGCGGUUUGUUAAGCAAGAUGUGAAAGCCCCCGGGCUCAACCUGGGAACUGCAUUUUGAACUGGCAGACUAGAGUCUUGGGAGAGGGGGGGUGGAAUUCCAGGUGUAGCGGUGAAAUGCGUAGAGAUCUGGAGGAACAUCAGUGGCGAAGGCGGCCCCCUGGCCAAAGACUGACGCUCAUGUGCGAAAGUGUGGGUAGCGAACAGGAUUAGACUACCCGGUAGUC